This 257-nucleotide unclassified non-coding RNA is filed under the name plant metagenome. RNAcentral's name for it is "partial contains small subunit ribosomal RNA and internal transcribed spacer 1". The stretch from base 1 to 53 matches the Rfam family "Eukaryotic small subunit ribosomal RNA", at positions 1778 to 1831 of the family's 1831-position model. The record is from RNAcentral.
GGAAGUAAAAGUCUAACAAGGUUUCCGUAGGUGAACCUGCGGAAGGAUCAUUAUCACGUAUCCACGUAUAAACCAUUGUGAACUGUACAUUAUUUUAAAAACGAAGGAUUUGCGUUCAUUCGCUCAUUCUUUCUUUUUUUAAUUAAACUAUUUAAACCUUUAAUUAAUUAUUGAACUGAUUAUAUUUCUUACUCUUCGGAGAAGAAAUUUUAUUACGAAACAAAGAACAACUCUUAGCAACGGAUAUCUUGGUUCUC